This 472-nucleotide ribosomal RNA is filed under the name uncultured bacterium. Its description in RNAcentral is "bacterial SSU rRNA". It matches the Rfam family "Bacterial small subunit ribosomal RNA", at positions 355 to 825 of the family's 1533-position model. The record is from RNAcentral.
UGGGGAAUUUUGGACAAUGGGCGCAAGCCUGAUCCAGCCAUUCCGCGUGAGUGAAGAAGGCCUUCGGGUUGUAAAGCUCUUUCGCAAGGGAAGAAAACUUAACCUCUAACAUAGGUUGAGGCUGACGGUACCUUGAUAAGAAGCACCGGCUAACUACGUGCCAGCAGCCGCGGUAAUACGUAGGGUGCGAGCGUUAAUCGGAAUUACUGGGCGUAAAGCGUGCGCAGGCGGCAUGAUAAGUCAGAUGUGAAAUCCCCGAGCUCAACUUGGGAACUGCGUUUGAAACUAUCAAGCUAGAAUAUGUCAGAGGGGGGUAGAAUUCCACGUGUAGCAGUGAAAUGCGUAGAGAUGUGGAGGAAUACCAAUGGCGAAGGCAGCCCCCUGGGAUAAUAUUGACGCUCAUGCACGAAAGCGUGGGGAGCAAACAGGAUUAGAUACCCCCGUAGUCCCUGAGCGGGCUGGCAAGGCGCAU